RNAcentral lists this ribosomal RNA (243 nucleotides) under uncultured Sphingobacteriales bacterium. RNAcentral describes it as "partial 16S ribosomal RNA". It matches the Rfam family "Bacterial small subunit ribosomal RNA", at positions 1139 to 1382 of the family's 1533-position model. Lineage: Bacteria; Pseudomonadati; Bacteroidota; Sphingobacteriia; Sphingobacteriales. The record is from RNAcentral.
UCAGGUGGAACUGCCUACGCAAGUAGUGAGGAAGCGGGGAUGACGUCAAAUCAGCACGGCCCUUACGUCCAGGGCUACACACGUGCUACAAUGCCGAUACAGAGGGCAGCUACCUGGUGACAGGAUGCAAAUCUACCAAAGUCGGUCUCAGUUCGGAUCGGAGUCUGCAACCCGACUCCGUGAAGUUGGAUUCGCUAGUAAUCGCGCAUCAGCCAUGGCGCGGUGAAUACGUUCCCGGGCCUU